AAGACUGUCAUAUUACUCUGCAUUGUGCUCUUUACAUAUCUUCUGAUCUCCACUGAAGUGGAUGCGAAAAAAAAGAGAUGUAGGUGUAGCUGUGGUGGCCCGUAUGGACUUGGUUGUGGGUGUAGAUGUACAUUCAAGAAGAGAAAUGCUGAAGAAAUCGCAAAGAGAUUUCCUCAAGCAGAUGACAAUUCACAGCUGGAAGAUUUGAAUGCAGACAUAUUGAGAGAUUAAGAUAAAAGAGGUGUUUGUCGAUAAAAUUAACUUUUCUGAUAAGUAAAAUUUUGAUUGCAG
Saccostrea cuccullata (small rock oyster) is the source of this 291-nucleotide long non-coding RNA. RefSeq lists it as uncharacterized. Lineage: Eukaryota; Metazoa; Mollusca; Bivalvia; Ostreida; Ostreidae. The record is from RefSeq and is a predicted model, not a curated record. The transcript is spliced from 3 exons.